UGGGAAAAAAAUUCCACUGGCAAAAAAAA
This 29-nucleotide non-coding RNA is filed under the name Rattus norvegicus (Norway rat). Lineage: Eukaryota; Metazoa; Chordata; Mammalia; Rodentia; Muridae. The record is from RNAcentral.